This 160-nucleotide ribosomal RNA is filed under the name uncultured soil bacterium. Its description in RNAcentral is "partial 16S ribosomal RNA". It matches the Rfam family "Bacterial small subunit ribosomal RNA", at positions 26 to 185 of the family's 1533-position model. The record is from RNAcentral.
AGAUUGAACGCUGGCGGCAUGCCUUACACAUGCAAGUCGAACGGCAGCACGGGAGCAAUCCUGGUGGCGAGUGGCGAACGGGUGAGUAAUACAUCGGAACGUGCCCAAUCGUGGGGGAUAACGCAGCGAAAGCUGUGCUAAUACCGCAUAAGAUCUACGG